Molecule: long non-coding RNA, 402 nt
Filed under: Homo sapiens (human)
Lineage: Eukaryota; Metazoa; Chordata; Mammalia; Primates; Hominidae
Description: HSALNT0248781
Source: RNAcentral
UUAGAAUGACAUGGGGAAAUGGAAGGAGAAAAAAAAAAACAAUGCUAAAAAGCCUAGAGAUGACCACAUAUGAAACGACCAUGUGUGUAAAGGAUUGCUGGAAAAUAAAUCAGUUAGAGAUGGCCUGGAUUCUGCCAUGUAAAUCAAAGAAGAGAGGGCCUAACUCAGCUGCCUAGCCUGGAUCACCUGGAACCCAUUAGGAUACAGGAUCAUAAACACCUCUAUUUUCCCUUCAGAGAGAGACCAGAACCACUGGAGUUAAGCUACCUGCAUAAGAGUUGAGUGCGAUCAGCUGUACUUAAUCUUUAAAUGUCCAACCCACUGAUAACCUUUGGUUUGCUUUGAUAACUAUGAAAUAAAUUCUCACUGCAUUGGAUACUGGCAUUCUGGUUUUUAUUCAAG